ACUGUAGGCUGCAACUCGCCUACACGAAGCUGGAAUCGCUAGUAAUCGCGGAUCAGCACGCCGCGGUGAAUACGUUCCCGGGCCUUGUACACACCGCCCGCCACACCAUGAGAGUCUGUAACACCCAAAGCCGGUGGGAUAACCUUUAUAGGAGUCAGCCGUCUAAGGUAGGACAGAUGAUUAGGGUGAAGUCGUAACAAGGUAGC
Molecule: ribosomal RNA, 206 nt
Filed under: uncultured bacterium
Lineage: Bacteria
Description: partial 16S ribosomal RNA
Rfam family: Bacterial small subunit ribosomal RNA
Source: RNAcentral